Molecule: long non-coding RNA, 2307 nt
Filed under: Oncorhynchus mykiss (rainbow trout)
Lineage: Eukaryota; Metazoa; Chordata; Actinopteri; Salmoniformes; Salmonidae
Description: lncRNA (ENSOMYG00000048813.1)
Source: RNAcentral
ACAGGAACAAUCGUGACUUUGACUCCACACAACACAACAUCCACAGAUGUUUCAAUCGUGGCUUUGACUCCACACAACACAACAUCCACAGAUGUUUCAAUCGUGACUUUGACUCCACACAACACAACAUCCACAGAUGUUUCAAUCGUGGCUUUGACUCCACACAACACAACAUCCACAGAUGUUUCAAUCGUGACUUUGACUCCACACAACACAACAUCCACAGAUGUUUCAAUCGUGGCUUUGACUCCACACAACACAACAUCCACAGAUGUUUCAAUCGUGGCUUUGACUCCACACAACACAACAUCCACAGAUGUUUCAAUCGUGACUUUGACUCCACACAACACAACAUCCACAGAUGUUUCAAUCGUGGCUUUGACUCCACACAACACAACAUCCACAGAUGUUUCAAAUAUGUCUGACAACACAUAUCUUGUGUUUCAGAUGUUUUAUAAACAGUUCAUACUUUAUUAAAACAUUUCAUUUUGAGCUUGAACUUGAUUGUGUAUUUAUUCUUCACCUUAAACUGAUGAAUAGUUAGCCUGGUACCUUAAACUGAUGAAUAGUUAGCCUGGUCCCUUAAACUGAUGAAUAGUUAGCCUGGUACCUUAAACUGAUGAAUAGUUAGCCUGGUACCUUAAACGGAUGAAUAGUUAGCCUGGUCCCUUGAACUGAUGAAUAGUUAGCCUGGUACCUUAAACUGAUGAAUAGUUAGCCUGGUACCUUAAACUGAUGAAUAGUUAGCCUGGUACCUUAAACUGAUGAAUAGUUAGCCUGGUACCUUAAACUGAUGAAUAGUUAGCCUGGUACCUUAAACUGAUGAAUAGUUAGCCUGGUACCUUAAACUGAUGAAUAGUUAGCCUGGUACCUUAAACUGAUGAAUAGUUAGCCUGGUCCCUUAAACUGAUGAAUAGUUAGCCUGGUACCUUAAACUGAUGAAUAGUUAGCCUGGUACCUUAAACUGAUGAAUAGUUAGCCUGGUACCUUAAACUGAUGAAUAGUUAGCCUGGUCCCUUAAACUGAUGAAUAGUUAGCCUGGUACCUUAAACUGAUGAAUAGUUAGCCUGGUACCUUAAACUGAUGAAUAGUUAGCCUGGUACCUUAAACUGAUGAAUAGUUAAUCUAGUCCCUUAAACUGAUGAAUAGUUAGCCUGGUACCUUCAACUGAUGAAUAGUUAGCCUGGUCCCUGUUGAAGGAAUUCUAAAUUCCUCUGUUUUAUUUCCCAAUCAGAAUUAAACACUCUGUCAAUGCAUUUAAGGGUUUGUAAGACCCUAUAUAUUUUAUAAGAAUGGACAGAGCCCCGGUCUUAAAAGUCAGGUAACAGCGUUUAAUUCAAGAGAGUACUGGUAUAUACACAUUUUUCCACAGGUUAUAAACUGAAAAUGACGUCAACGUUUUCUAAAUGUUCUCUUCAUGACACCGGUAGAGAGGCCCUAUAGUUUUUGAGCCUUCCCUCCUCUCCUAAAGCCAAGGUCAGUCAGUGUAGAUUAGCAUUCUAGACAGUCUGGAGAUAGUCCGUCCCUGCCAUCUGGAGAUAGUUCAUUCAUUUGUACCAAGGCACUGUUCUAAACUCCUGACUAUAUUAUAUACAAUUGGGAAUGGGAGCAAGAGAGAAAAUUCAUACAUGUACAGUACAUAAUAGCAUUUGGACAAGUCAGUCCUGAUUGAAAUGUAUACAUAAUUAGUCAUCAUUGAUAAACGGUAGUGUAGUAAACAGAGUGUACAGAGUGUACGGUAGUGUAGUAAACAGAGUGAGUACGGUAGUGUAGUAAACAGAGUGAGUACGGUAGUGUAGUAAACAGAGUGAGUACGGUAGUGUAGUAAACAGAGUGAGUACGGUAGUGUAGUAAACAGGGAGUACGGUAGUGUAGUAAACAGAGUGAGUACGGUAGUGUAGUAAACAGGGUGAGUACGGUAGUGUAUUAGACAGAGUGAGUACAGUAGUGUAUUAAACAGAGUGAGUACGGUAGUGUAGUAAACAGAGUGAGUACGGUAGUGUAGUAAACAGAGUGAGUACGGUAGUGUAUUAUUAGACAGAGUGAGUACAGUAGUGUAGUAAACAGAGUGAGUACAGUAGUGUAGUAAACAGAGUGAGUACGGUAGUGUAUUAUUAGACAGAGUGAGUACGGUAGUGUAUUAUUAGACAGAGUGAGUACAGUAGUGUAGUAAACAGAGUGAGUACGGUAGUGUAUUAUUAGACAGAGUGAGUACAGUAGUGUAGUAAACAGAGUGCAGCCAAUAGCAGCCAACGGGUUUCUCCACACAUCGCGCUGACAGAAACAAACAUCUUUCUGGGAAGAAGA